This 469-nucleotide ribosomal RNA is filed under the name uncultured bacterium. Its description in RNAcentral is "bacterial SSU rRNA". It matches the Rfam family "Bacterial small subunit ribosomal RNA", at positions 329 to 795 of the family's 1533-position model. The record is from RNAcentral.
UACCAGACUCCUACGGGAGGCAGCAGUGAGGAAUAUUGGUCAAUGGGCGGGAGCCUGAACCAGCCAAGUCGCGUGAGGGAAGACGGUCCUAUGGAUUGUAAACCUCUUUAGGCGGGGAGCAAUGCCGGGCACGCGUGCCCGGAGGGAGAGUACCCGCAGAAUAAGCAUCGGCUAACUCCGUGCCAGCAGCCGCGGUAAUACGGAGGAUGCGAGCGUUAUCCGGAUUUAUUGGGUUUAAAGGGUGCGUAGGCGGGUUUUUAAGUCAGCGGUAAAAGGGCCGGGCUCAACCCGGGCCGGCCGUGGAAACUGGGGAUCUUGAGUGGGCGAGAAGUAUGCGGAAUGCGUGGUGUAGCGGUGAAAUGCAUAGAUAUCACGCAGAACUCCGAUUGCGAAGGCGGCGUGCCGUGCCGCCACUGACGCUGAGGCACGAAAGCGCGGGGAUCGAACAGGAUUAGAUACCCUAGUAGAG